CCUACGGGCGGCAGCAGUGAGGAAUAUUGGUCAAUGGGCGCGAGCCUGAACCAGCCAAGUAGCGUGCAGGAUGACUGCCCUACGGGUUGUAAACUUCUUUUAUAAAGGAAUAAAGUGAGGCACGUGUGCCUUCUUGUAAGUACUUUAUGAAUAAGGAUCGGCUAACUCCGUGCCAGCAGCCGCGGUAAUACGGAGGAUCCGAGCGUUAUCCGGAUUUAUUGGGUUUAAAGGGAGCGUAGAUGGGUUGUUAAGUCAGUUGUGAAAGUUUGCGGCUCAACCGUAAAAGUGCAAUUGAUACUGGCAGGCUAGAGUGUAGUUGAGGUAGGCGGAAUUCAUGGUGUAGUGGUGAAAUGCUUAGAGAUCACGAAGAACACCGAUUGCGAAGGCAGCUUACUAAACUGCCACUGACAUUGAUGCUCGAAAGUGUGGGUAUCAAACAGGAUUAGAUACCCUUGUAGUC
This 460-nucleotide ribosomal RNA is filed under the name uncultured bacterium. Its description in RNAcentral is "partial 16S ribosomal RNA". It matches the Rfam family "Bacterial small subunit ribosomal RNA", at positions 338 to 795 of the family's 1533-position model. The record is from RNAcentral.